GCGGAGGAAAAGAAACCAACAGGGAUUGCCCUAGUAACGGCGAGUGAAGCGGCAACAGCUCAAAUUUGAAAGCUAGCCUUCGGGUUCGCAUUGUAAUUUGUAGAGGAUGAUUUGGGGAAGCCGCCUGUCUAAGUUCCUUGGAACAGGACGUCAUAGAGGGUGAGAAUCCCGUAUGUGACAGGAAAUGGCACCCUAUGUAAAUCUCCUUCGACGAGUCGAGUUGUUUGGGAAUGCAGCUCUAAAUGGGAGGUAAAUUUCUUCUAAAGCUAAAUAUUGGCGAGAGACCGAUAGCGCACAAGUAGAGUGAUCGAAAGAUGAAAAGCACUUUGGAAAGAGAGUUAAAAAGCACGUGAAAUUGUUGAAAGGGAAGCGCUUGCAAUCAGACUUGUUUAAACUGUUCGGCCGGUCUUCUGACCGGUUUACUCAGUUUGGACAGGCCAGCAUCAGUUUCGGCGGCCGGAUAAAGGCUCUGGGAAUGUGGCCUCCACUUCGGUGGAGGUGUUAUAGCCCAGGGUGUAAUACGGCCAGCCGGGACUGAGGUCCGCGCUUCGGCUAGGAUGCUGGCGUAAUGGUUGUAAGCGACCCGU
RNAcentral lists this ribosomal RNA (587 nucleotides) under Kabatiella microsticta. RNAcentral's name for it is "eukaryotic LSU rRNA". It matches the Rfam family "Eukaryotic large subunit ribosomal RNA", at positions 50 to 652 of the family's 3401-position model. The record is from RNAcentral. Lineage: Eukaryota; Fungi; Ascomycota; Dothideomycetes; Dothideales; Saccotheciaceae. RNAcentral also lists the same sequence under 1 other name.